AGUGAACGCUGGCGGUAGGCCUAACACAUGCAAGUCGAACGGCAGCACAGUAAGAGCUUGCUCUUACGGGUGGCGAGUGGCGGACGGGUGAGGAAUACAUCGGAAUCUACUUUUUCGUGGGGGAUAACGUAGGGAAACUUACGCUAAUACCGCAUACGACCUACGGGUGAAAGCAGGGGAUCUUCGGACCUUGCGCGAUUGAAUGAGCCGAUGUCGGAUUAGAUAGUUGGCGGGGUAAAGGCCCACCAAGGCGACGAUCCGUAGCUGGUCUGAGAGGAUGAUCAGCCACACUGGAACUGAGACACGGUCCAGACUCCUACGGGAGGCAGCAGUGGGGAAUAUUGGACAAGGGGCGCAAGCCUGAUCCAGCCAUACCGCGUGGGUGAAGAAGGCCUUCGGGUUGUAAAGACCUUUUGUUGGGAAAGAAAAGCAGCAGGUUAAUACCCCGCUGUUCUGACGGUACCCAAAGAAUAAGCACCGGCUAACUUCGUG
This 492-nucleotide ribosomal RNA is filed under the name uncultured bacterium. Its description in RNAcentral is "partial 16S ribosomal RNA". It matches the Rfam family "Bacterial small subunit ribosomal RNA", at positions 29 to 507 of the family's 1533-position model. The record is from RNAcentral.